GAUGAACGCUGGCGGCGUGCCUAAUACAUGCAAGUCGAGCGAACGGACGAGAAGCUUGCUUCUCUGAUGUUAGCGGCGGACGGGUGAGUAACACGUGGAUAACCUACCUAUAAGACUGGGAUAACUUCGGGAAACCGGAGCUAAUACCGGAUAAUAUUUUGAACCGCAUGGUUCAAAAGUGAAAGACGGUCUUGCUGUCACUUAUAGAUGGAUCCGCGCUGCAUUAGCUAGUUGGUAAGGUAACGGCUUACCAAGGCAACGAUGCAUAGCCGACCUGAGAGGGUGAUCGGCCACACUGGAACUGAGACACGGUCCAGACUCCUACGGGAGGCAGCAGUAGGGAAUCUUCCGCAAUGGGCGAAAGCCUGACGGAGCAACGCCGCGCGAGUGAUGAAGGUCUUCGGAUCGUAAAACUCUGUUAUUAGGGAAGAACAUAUGUGUAAGUAACUGUGCACAUCUCGACGGUACCUAAUCAGAAAGCCACGGCUAACUACGUG
RNAcentral lists this ribosomal RNA (497 nucleotides) under uncultured bacterium. RNAcentral's name for it is "partial 16S ribosomal RNA". It matches the Rfam family "Bacterial small subunit ribosomal RNA", at positions 28 to 507 of the family's 1533-position model. The record is from RNAcentral.